RNAcentral lists this long non-coding RNA (742 nucleotides) under Prunus dulcis (almond). RNAcentral describes it as "sRNA ncRNA". Lineage: Eukaryota; Viridiplantae; Streptophyta; Magnoliopsida; Rosales; Rosaceae. The record is from RNAcentral.
UAGCUUGUAUUGUUGUGUCCUACAAAUUCUCUUUUGUCCCGAUUGAGCUUCCUUUGCGUUCAAUUAUUUGUGUUGGGCCAAGAAUUAAUAUGGGCUUAGCCCCUUGGAUUUUUGGCCCUCAACAAUAGCCCCAUUGAUUAUUGGGGCUAUGAGCAAAUAUUGAGAUGGGUCAAAUAAUCAAACCCGUCCCAAAAAGAAAAAAUCAAACCCACGUUGUUGACGUGACCUUUUCGUUUCUCGCGUGUGUGCUGCCAUGAUUAUCUUCCAAUAGUCUUGCAUAUUCCCCAGGUAUGCUUCCAUCAAAUCCAUUUUAUUUUAUUAAUUUUUUUAUUUCCUUUUCUUUCUUUCUUCUUUCCGUUUCUGAUUUUCUCCUCUAUGCGUGCAAAACCAGAGCUACCUACCUCUUUCCUUUGGUUAUUGCUAGUUCAGGUCUAGAGAACCUUUGAGAAUGAGGAAUCAAAGGGAGGCAUCAUCCAUAACCGCUAGUUGGUCAUCACUUAAAUUGAUUGUUUCCAAUUGCUCAGCUACUGCCAUCGAUCCAUCUUGCACGUGAUUGGGUGCUAUCAUUGGCUCUUGGAAAGCACAAGGCAGGGAGGGGUGCCUUGUCAUCUGGACUCCUACGGUUGCCUGCUUGCAUAGCUUCUCCUCCAUACUCGGGGCUCUCCCGUAGGAUACGGUUAAGCCCCCAACCCCGUCAUAAGCGGUACACAGUGCACCCAUCUGGCAGCAUCACCUUCGAGCA